This 479-nucleotide ribosomal RNA is filed under the name uncultured bacterium. RNAcentral's name for it is "bacterial SSU rRNA". It matches the Rfam family "Bacterial small subunit ribosomal RNA", at positions 30 to 507 of the family's 1533-position model. The record is from RNAcentral.
AUUGAACGCUGGCGGCAUGCCUUACACAUGCAAGUCGAACGGUAACAGGUUAAGCUGACGAGUGGCGAACGGGUGAGUAAUAUAUCGGAACGUGCCCAGUCGUGGGGGAUAACGUAGCGAAAGUUACGCUAAUACCGCAUACGAUCUACGGAUGAAAGCGGGGGACUCGUAAGAGCCUCGCGCGAUUGGAGCGGCCGAUAUCAGAUUAGGUAGUUGGUGGGGUAAAGGCUCACCAAGCCAACGAUCUGUAGCUGGUCUGAGAGGACGACCAGCCACACUGGAACUGAGACACGGUCCAGACUCCUACGGGAGGCAGCAGUGGGGAAUUUUGGACAAUGGACGCAAGUCUGAUCCAGCCAUUCCGCGUGCAGGAUGAAGGCCCUCGGGUUGUAAACUGCUUUUGUACGGAACGAAAAGGUUUCUAUUAAUACUAGGAGCUCAUGACGGUACCGUAAGAAUAAGCACCGGCUAACUACGUG